Molecule: ribosomal RNA, 451 nt
Filed under: uncultured bacterium
Lineage: Bacteria
Description: SSU rRNA
Rfam family: Bacterial small subunit ribosomal RNA
Source: RNAcentral
AGAGCGAACGCUGGCGGCAGGCUUAACACAUGCAAGUCGAGCGGGCGUAGCAAUACGUCAGCGGCAGACGGGUGAGUAACGCGUGGGAACGUACCUUUUGGUUCGGAACAACCCAGGGAAACUUGGGCUAAUACCGGAUAAGCCCUUACGGGGAAAGAUUUAUCGCCGAAAGAUCGGCCCGCGUCUGAUUAGCUAGUUGGUGAGGUAAUGGCUCACCAAGGCGACGAUCAGUAGCUGGUCUGAGAGGAUGAUCAGCCACAUUGGGACUGAGACACGGCCCAAACUCCUACGGGAGGCAGCAGUGGGGAAUAUUGGACAAUGGGCGCAAGCCUGAUCCAGCCAUGCCGCGUGAGUGAUGAAGGCCCUAGGGUUGUAAAGCUCUUUUGUGCGGGAAGAUAAGUGACGGUACCGCAAGAAUAACGCCCCGGCUAACUUCGCGCCAGCACGCCGC